RNAcentral lists this ribosomal RNA (1233 nucleotides) under metagenome. RNAcentral describes it as "bacterial SSU rRNA". It matches the Rfam family "Bacterial small subunit ribosomal RNA", at positions 265 to 1520 of the family's 1533-position model. The record is from RNAcentral.
UCACCAAGGCAAUGACACCUAACUGGUUUGAGAGGAUGAUCAAUCGCACUGGAACUGAGACACGGUCCAGACUCCUACGGGAGGCAGCAGUGGGGAAUAUUGCACAAUGGACGAAAGUCUGAUGCAGCAACGCCGCGUGGAGGAUGACACAUUUCGGUGCGUAAACUCCUUUUAUAUAGGAAGAUAAUGACGGUACUAUAUGAAUAAGCACCGGCUAACUCCGUGCCAGCAGCCGCGGUAAUACGGAGGGUGCAAGCGUUACUCGGAAUUACUGGGCGUAAAGAGCGUGUAGGCGGGUAAAUAAGUUGGAAGUGAAAUCCUAUGGCUCAACCAUAGAACUGCUUCCAAAACUGUUAACCUAGAAUGUGGGAGAGGUAGAUGGAAUUUCUGGUGUAGGGGUAAAAUCCGUAGAUAUCAGAAGGAAUACCGAUUGCGAAGGCGAUCUACUGGAACACUAUUGACGCUGAGACGCGAAAGCGUGGGGAGCAAACAGGAUUAGAUACCCUGGUAGUCCACGCCCUAAACGAUGUACACUAGUUGUUGUGAGGCUAGACCUUGCAGUAAUGCAGUUAACACAUUAAGUGUACCGCCUGGGGAGUACGGUCGCAAGAUUAAAACUCAAAGGAAUAGACGGGGACCCGCACAAGCGGUGGAGCAUGUGGUUUAAUUCGACAUACGCGAAGAACCUUACCUGGUCUUGACAUAGAAAGAACUUUCCAGAGAUGGAUUGGUGCCUGCUUGCAGGAGCUUUCAUACAGGUGCUGCACGGCUGUCGUCAGCUCGUGUCGUGAGAUGUUGGGUUAAGUCCCGCAACGAGCGCAACCCUCGUCGUUAGUUGCUAACAGUUCGGCUGAGAACUCUAACGAGACUGCCUACGCAAGUAGGAGGAAGGUGAGGACGACGUCAAGUCAUCAUGGCCCUUACGACCAGGGCUACACACGUGCUACAAUGGGGUAUACAAAGAGCAGCGAUACGGUGACGUGGAGCGAAUCUCAAAAAUGCCUCCCAGUUCGGAUAGUAGUCUGCAACUCGACUACUUGAAGUUGGAAUCGCUAGUAAUCGUAGAUCAGCUAUGCUACGGUGAAUACGUUCCCGGGUCUUGUACUCACCGCCCGUCACACCAUGGGAGUUGAAUUCAUUCGAAGCGGGGAUGCUAAAAUAGCUACCUUCCACAGUGGAUUUAGCGACUGGGGUGAAGUCGUAACAAGGUAACCGUAGGAGAACCUGCGGUUG